GAAAGGAAUAAGGGAAAAGAUUAUUGAGAGUUCUCUUGAUAAGGAUGGAAAAGAAUCUAGUAGCCUUUACCUCAUAUAUAUGAUUAAGAUAUUGCUACCUACUCUUGGUCAUUUAACCAUGUUUUCCU
Molecule: small nuclear RNA, 128 nt
Organism: Monodelphis domestica (gray short-tailed opossum)
Lineage: Eukaryota; Metazoa; Chordata; Mammalia; Didelphimorphia; Didelphidae
Source: Ensembl